AUUCCUACGGGAGGCAGCAGUGGGGAAUAUUGCACAAUGCGCGCAAGCCUGAUGCAGCAACGCCGCGUGAGGGACGACGGCCUUCGGGUUGUAAACCUCUUUUAGCAGGGAAGAAGCGAAAGUGACGGUACCUGCAGAAAAAGCGCCGGCUAACUACGUGCCAGCAGCCGCGGUAAUAAU
Molecule: ribosomal RNA, 180 nt
Filed under: uncultured bacterium
Lineage: Bacteria
Description: partial 16S ribosomal RNA
Rfam family: Bacterial small subunit ribosomal RNA
Source: RNAcentral